UGUCCGUGAAUUUUAUGAUUAAAGUCCAUCAUCCGUGCCCUGGCUGCUCUACAGGGUGUAUCAGGACAGGAGGCAGAAGACUUAUUUCUUGGUGGCCCAGAAUACAGUAUCAGUGAAGUGGAAGAAUUUAACCGAAAGAUAGGGCAGCAAUUAAAGAAGGAGGGAAUGCUGUGAUAUCUGUUGGAAUAGAAGAUGAUGCUACUGCCCAGUGCUUCCAGAAUCCUUCAUUUGAGUCUUGGGUCUGAAUCUACUGCGUCAUUGCCAAGUAUUCUGGGGUAAUGUAUCUUGUUUUGUUUACAUUUUGUUUUUCUCCAUAUUCCAAGCUCAUUUACUUGACCUUAGCUUGAAUAAACUGGAUGGCUGUCUCCUUCACAAUUGAUUUUAAAGUACUAUACUAUUCAUUACAUAAAAAGCUCUGAACAAUUUAGUCCCUUCCAGUAUUUGGUACUGUCUCUCCCCCAGCACUCCUCAGUGUAAUCUUUAAUCCACAA
Long non-coding RNA from Erpetoichthys calabaricus (reedfish), 491 nucleotides. RefSeq lists it as uncharacterized. The transcript is spliced from 3 exons. Lineage: Eukaryota; Metazoa; Chordata; Cladistia; Polypteriformes; Polypteridae. The record is from RefSeq and is a predicted model, not a curated record.